AUUGAACGCUGGCGGCAGGCCUAACACAUGCAAGUCGGACGGUAGCACAGAGAGCUUGCUCUCGGGUGACGAGUGGCGGACGGGUGAGUAAUGUCUGGGGAUCUGCCCGAUAGAGGGGGAUAACCACUGGAAACGGUGGCUAAUACCGCAUAACGUCGCAAGACCAAAGAGGGGGACCUUCGGGCCUCUCACUAUCGGAUGAACCCAGAUGGGAUAAGCUAGUAGGCGGGGUAACGGCCCACCUAGGCGACGAUCCCUAGCUGGUCUGAGAGGAUGACCAGCCACACUGGAACUGAGACACGGUCCAGACUCCUACGGGAGGCAGCAGUGGGGAAUAUUGCACAAUGGGCGCAAGCCUGAUGCAGCCAUGCCGCGUGUAUGAAGAAGGCCUUCGGGUUGUAAAGUACUUUCAGCGGGGAGGAAGGCGAUGUAGUUAAUAACCGUAUCGAUUGACGUUACCCGCAGAAGAAGCACCGGCUAACUCCGUGCCAGCCGCCGCAGUAA
This 504-nucleotide ribosomal RNA is filed under the name uncultured bacterium. RNAcentral's name for it is "partial 16S ribosomal RNA". It matches the Rfam family "Bacterial small subunit ribosomal RNA", at positions 29 to 523 of the family's 1533-position model. The record is from RNAcentral.